RNAcentral lists this ribosomal RNA (393 nucleotides) under uncultured bacterium. Its description in RNAcentral is "partial 16S ribosomal RNA". It matches the Rfam family "Bacterial small subunit ribosomal RNA", at positions 523 to 918 of the family's 1533-position model. The record is from RNAcentral.
AUACGUAGGGGGCGAGCGUUGUCCGGAAUGAUUGGGCGUAAAGGGUGCGUAGGCGGUUUGCUAAGCGGGAGGUGAAAUGCCGGCGCUCAACGUCGGAAGUGCCUCCCGAACUGGUGGACUGGAAUGACUCUGCCGUGGGAGGAAUGUGUAGUGUAGCGGUGAAAUGCUUAGAGAUUACACAGAACACCGAUUGCGAAGGCAUCUCACGAAGGGUUGAUUGACGCUGAGGCACGAAAGCGUGGGGAUCAAACAGGAUUAGAUACCCUGGUAGUCCACGCAGUAAACGAUGAUGGCUAACCGCUGGUUUAUUCGGAUCAGUGGCCAAGCGAAAGCGAUAAGCCAUCCACCUGGGGAGUACGACCGCAAGGUUGAAACUCAAAUGAAUUGGCGGGG